Molecule: ribosomal RNA, 434 nt
Filed under: uncultured bacterium
Lineage: Bacteria
Description: bacterial SSU rRNA
Rfam family: Bacterial small subunit ribosomal RNA
Source: RNAcentral
AACGAACGCUGGCGGCAUGCCUAACACAUGCAAGUCGAACGAAGUCUUCGGACUUAGUGGCGCACGGGUGCGUAACGCGUGGGAAUCUGCCCUUGGGUUCGGAAUAACAGUUAGAAAUGACUGCUAAUACCGGAUGAUGUCUUCGGACCAAAGAUUUAUCGCCCAGGGAUGAGCCCGCGUAGGAUUAGGUAGUUGGUGGGGUAAUGGCCCACCAAGCCGACGAUCCUUAGCUGGUCUGAGAGGAUGAUCAGCCACACUGGGACUGAGACACGGCCCAGACUCCUACGGGAGGCAGCAGUGGGGAAUAUUGGACAAUGGGCGAAAGCCUGGAUCCAGCAAUGCCGCGUGAGUGAUGAAGGCCUUAGGGUUGUAAAGCUCUUUUACCAGGGAUGAUAAUGACAGUACCUGGAGAAUAAGCUCCGGCUAACUCCGUG